This 267-nucleotide ribosomal RNA is filed under the name Acinetobacter baumannii. RNAcentral's name for it is "partial 23S ribosomal RNA". It matches the Rfam family "Bacterial large subunit ribosomal RNA", at positions 40 to 305 of the family's 2925-position model. Lineage: Bacteria; Pseudomonadati; Pseudomonadota; Gammaproteobacteria; Moraxellales; Moraxellaceae. The record is from RNAcentral.
GUCAGAGGCGAUGAAAGAGGUGAUAGCAUGCGAAAAGCUUCGGGGAGGCGGCAAAUAUCUUUUGAUCGGGAGAUGUCUGAAUGGGGGAACCCACCUACUUUAAGGUAGGUAUUGCAACAUGAAUACAUAGUGUUGCAAGGCGAACGAGGGGAAGUGAAACAUCUCAGUACCCUUAGGAAAAGAAAUCAAUUGAGAUUCUCUCAGUAGCGGCGAGCGAACGGGGCUCAGCCCGUUAAGUUUUGUGUGUUUUAGUGGAAUGCUCUGGGA